RNAcentral lists this long non-coding RNA (1093 nucleotides) under Oryza sativa Indica Group (long-grained rice). Its description in RNAcentral is "lncRNA OsMH63_04G011320". Lineage: Eukaryota; Viridiplantae; Streptophyta; Magnoliopsida; Poales; Poaceae. The record is from RNAcentral.
AUGGAGACGACCAACGCGCGCCCGGAGAAGCGCCACCGGAUCGCCGCCGCCGCCGCCGCGGCGGCUGCCGUUCCAGACGACGUUCUGUUCUCCAACAUCUUGGUGCACCUCCCGGUGAAAUCCCUCGCUCGUCUCAAGUGCGUGAGCCGAUCAUGGCUCGCCGCCGUCGAGGACCCCGCGUUCGUCCGCCGCCACCUCGAGCUGUCCCGCGCGAGGCCGUCGGCGAUGAUCGUCGUCGUCCCUCCCAAGGAUGGCAGUAUAAGCUUCCACCGCUUCCGACAACUACAGGUAGUGGACACGACAACCAUGGACGACAGCAGCGAGGUUGAGCUGAUGCUCGAGAGGGCGUUCCCGGAUGGGGUCGAGAUAGACGUCGCCACGCACUGCGACGGCCUCAUCGCCGUCACGACGGACGCCGGCGAGACAUUCGUCUGCAACCCAACCACCAAGGAGCUCGUCACGCUGCCGCUCGGCAUCAGCUGCCACAACGGCUGCGUCGUCUGGGAUCGGUUCGCGGCCAUCGGCUACGAUCCGUGGCGCAGCCGGUACGUCGUCUGUAGGUACUUCCGCCGGCGCUACCCAAACAGGACCGCCGGCGCCGAAAUCGGGCAUGAGAUCUUCGUUCUCGGCGGCGGCGGCGGCGGCUCAUGGGAGGCCACCGAGGAUCCACCACCAACCAGCGCCAUCGUGCCGGCCAGCACUCCGCCGGCUUGCAUCGGAGGGUGCUUCUACUGGUGCACCAACGAGGACGUCGGCAACCCGAGCAUGUUGCUCCGGUUUAGCCUUCGCAGCCACAAGUUCGACCUGGUUCCAUGCCAUCCGGGCUGCUCAUCCGACGUCUUCGCAUUCAACACCGUGUCGGAGCUGGACGGCUCAAAAACCGCCGCCGCUGCUCCAUCCCCCUCCGGCCCUCUUCGUCCGCGCUCACCCCCGCUUGAGCAGCUCGCCGGAAAGGCGGGCAGCAGCAAGAACGACUGCGGCGGAGCUCCUUCUCUCCUCUUCCACCCCCUGAUAGCACCAUGCGCCUAUGCGGGUUGUGGUCACCGAAUCCCUGUCAUGUGGCAAUGGGGUUCUCAGAUAUAGACCAAUCUAU